RNAcentral lists this ribosomal RNA (248 nucleotides) under uncultured bacterium. Its description in RNAcentral is "partial 16S ribosomal RNA". It matches the Rfam family "Bacterial small subunit ribosomal RNA", at positions 63 to 339 of the family's 1533-position model. The record is from RNAcentral.
CGAGCGAGGUAGCAAUACCUAGCGGCAGACGGGUGCGUAACAUGUGGGAAUCUGCCUUUUGGUUCGGAGCAACAUUGGGAAACCGAUGCUAAUACUGGAUAAGCCCUUACGGGGAAAGUUUUAAUGCCAAAAGAUGAGCCCGCACUUGAUUAGCUAGUUGGUAAGGUAAUGGCUUACCAAGGCAACGAUCAAUAGCUGAUCUGAGAGGAUGAUCAGCCACACUGGGACUGAGACACGGCCCAGACUCC